UCCCUAUGGGGUGCAGCAGGCGCGAAAACUUUACAAUGCAGGCAACUGCGAUAAGGGGACAUCGAGUGGCACGCAAUUUGUGUGUCUGUCCACCCGUCUAAAAAACGGGUGUUAGCAAGGGCCGGGCAAGACCGGUGCCAGCCGCCGCGGUAAUACCGGCGGCUCGAGUGGUGGCCGAUAUUAUUGAGUCUAAAGGGUCCGUAGCCGGCUUAGUAAGUCUUUUGGGAAAUCCAGCGGCUUAAUCGUUGGGCGUCCAUGAGAUACUGCUUUGCUUGGGACUGGGAGAGGUAGGAGGUACUCAAGGGGUAGGAGUGAAAUCCUGUAAUCCUUUGGGGACCACCGGUGGCGAAGGCGUCCUACCAGAACAGGUCCGACGGUGAGGGACGAAAGCUAGGGGCACGAACCGGAUUAGAUACCCGGGUAGUCCUAGCCGUAAACGAUGCUCGCUAGGUGUCACGGCAGUCGUGAAUUGCCGUGGUGCCGUAGGGAAGCCGUGAAGCGAGCCACUUGGGAAGUACGACCGCAAGGUUGAAACUUAAAGGAAUUGGCGGGGGAGCACCACAACGGGUGGAGCCUGCGGUUUAAUUGGAUUCAACGCCGGAA
This 603-nucleotide ribosomal RNA is filed under the name uncultured archaeon. Its description in RNAcentral is "bacterial SSU rRNA". It matches the Rfam family "Archaeal small subunit ribosomal RNA", at positions 319 to 923 of the family's 1478-position model. The record is from RNAcentral.